AGGAGGAACAACCCCAGUGGCUGCGGCAGCUCUGGAGCCCUGUAUUCUGCCCCCACAGUAACUACAGAGCUCUCCGUCUGCAGGGCCUGGACUCCGGGGGCGG
This 103-nucleotide microRNA precursor is filed under the name Canis lupus familiaris (dog). Its description in RNAcentral is "mir-8834 microRNA precursor family". It matches the Rfam family "mir-8834 microRNA precursor family". The record is from Rfam by way of RNAcentral. Lineage: Eukaryota; Metazoa; Chordata; Mammalia; Carnivora; Canidae. RNAcentral also lists the same sequence under 1 other name.